CAUACGACCGUACCGCAAACCGACACUGGUGCGCGAGAUGAGUAUUCUAAGGCGCUUGAGAGAACUCAGGAGAAGGAACUCGGCAAAUUGACACCGUAACUUCGGAAGAAGGUGUGCCCUAUUAGUGUGUAGUGAACAACGAAGCAUGAAUGGGUUGCAAAAAAUCGGUGGCUGCGACUGUUUAUUAAAAACACAGCACUCUGCAAACACGAAAGUGGACGUAUAGGGUGUGACGCCUGCCCGGUGCUGGAAGAUUAAAUGAUGGGGUGCAAGCUCUUGAUUGAAGUCCCAGUAAACGGCGGCCGUAACGAUAACGGUCCUAAGGUAGCGAAAUUCCUUGUCGGGUAAGUUCCGACCUGCACGAAUGGCGUAACGAUGGCCACACUGUCUCCUCCUGAGACUCAGCGAAGUUGAAAUGUUUGUGAUGAUGCAAUCUCCCCGCGGAAAGACGGAAAGACCCCAUGAACCUUUACUGUAGCUUUGUAUUGGACUUUGAACAGAUCUGUGUAGGAUAGGUGGGAGGCUUUGAAGCAGGGUCGCUAGAUCUUGUGGAGCCAACGUUGAAAUACCACCCUGGUGUGUUUGAGGUUCUAACCUAGGUCCAUUAUCUGGAUCGGGGACAGUGCAUGGUAGGCAGUUUGACUGGGGCGGUCUCCUCCCAAAGCGUAACGGAGGAGUUCGAAGGUACGCUAGUUACGGUCGGACAUCGUGACGAUAGUGCAAUGGCAUAAGCGUGCUUAACUGCGAGACUGACAAGUCGAGCAGAUGCGAAAGCAGGACAUAGUGAUCCGGUGGUUCUGUAUGGAAGGGCCAUCGCUCAACGGAUAAAAGGUACUCUGGGGAUAACAGGCUGAUACCGCCCAAGAGUUCAUAUCGACGGCGGUGUUUGGCACCUCGAUGUCGGCUCAUCUCAUCCUGGGGCUGUAGCCGGUCCCAAGGGUAUGGCUGUUCGCCAUUUAAAGAGGUACGUGAGCUGGGUUUAAAACGUCGUGAGACAGUUUGGUCCCUAUCUUCCGUGGGCGCUGCAGAUUUGAGGAAGCCUGCUCCUAGUACGAGAGGACCGGAGUGGACACACCUCUGGUGUAUCGGUUGUCACGCCAGUGGCAUUGCCGAGUAGCUAAGUGUGGAAGAGAUAACCGCUGAAAGCAUCUAAGCGGGAAACUCGUUUCAAGAUGAGAUCUGCCGGGGCCUUGAGCCCCCUAAAGAGUCGUUCAAGACCAGGACGUUGAUAGGUCAGGUGUGGAAGCGU
This 1249-nucleotide ribosomal RNA is filed under the name metagenome. RNAcentral's name for it is "bacterial LSU rRNA". It matches the Rfam family "Bacterial large subunit ribosomal RNA", at positions 1635 to 2876 of the family's 2925-position model. The record is from RNAcentral.